AGCAGUCGCCACGGUAAUACAGAGGGUGCGAGCGUUAAUCGGAUUUACUGGGCGUAAAGCGUGCGUAGGCGGCUUCUUAAGUCGGAUGUGAAAUCCCUGAGCUUAACUUAGGAAUUGCAUUCGAUACUGGGAAGCUAGAGUAUGGGAGAGGAUGGUAGAAUUCCAGGUGUAGCGGUGAAAUGCGUAGAGAUCUGGAGGAAUACCGAUGGCGAAGGCAGCCAUCUGGCCUAAUACUGACGCUGAGGUACGAAAGCAUGGGGAGCAAACAGGAUUAGAUACCCCCGUAGUCCCUGUCUCUUAUAA
Molecule: ribosomal RNA, 303 nt
Filed under: uncultured bacterium
Lineage: Bacteria
Description: partial 16S ribosomal RNA
Rfam family: Bacterial small subunit ribosomal RNA
Source: RNAcentral